Molecule: long non-coding RNA, 2347 nt
Organism: Taeniopygia guttata (zebra finch)
Lineage: Eukaryota; Metazoa; Chordata; Aves; Passeriformes; Estrildidae
Source: Ensembl
UGGGAUCCCCUUUUUGUUUUUUUUUUUUCCUCAUGCGGGGAGAGCAAACCCGCCGCUUAUAUUUAAAAAGAAAAAAAAAUGGAGAAAAAAAAAUUAAUAUUAUGAAGUCCCCACUGAAAUUUUGGGGGGGGAAACAAAAGGGUCCUGCGGACAAAGCGAGCUUGGGAGCCUGGUGCAUUUUAGGGACUGAUCGUGCGAAGCGUUUUUAACGACCUGUUGUUUCGAUUUGUGACGGUUUUAAUGAUGUUGCAUCAAGAUAAAAACUUAUAUUCAACUAGAGCCUGGGUCGGGUUUUCUCUCAACUUUUGGGGUGUCCUGCAGCAUCGGGGUUUUGUUUGGGGGUUGUUUAUCCUUCCCUUUGAUUCCCAGUGCUGAUGCAAAACCUUCCCCAAGCUCCUGCUGAGAUAAGUCCGGUGUUGAGCGGCGCCUUUGGCUUUUCACUUUUCCUGCCUUUUUUGUUUUUGUUUUGUUUUUAUUUUUUUUUUCAGCCGGGUUCUGGGUGUUUUUGGUUUUCUUUCCCGGCUGGAGGGUCCCGGAGACCUUCAUCCCUGCAGCUGCUGGAAAUUCAGGGGAUCCAGUUUGGUUCCAGCUUGUCCGACACCGUCCCGAUGAGCCGCUGGCUUGAUUUUCAACGGCUCAGCCGUGGCAGGUCCCCAAGCUGUGGCGUGUUUCCCUCCUGCCGCUUCCAUAAAUCUCUGCUGUGCUCAUGUAACCUCCUGGCUUUUCCUUGGAUUUGUGGGGUGCCUGCAACUCCACAACCCUCCGGUCUUGCCUUUUCUGCACCCCCAAACCUCACUCCCCCUUUUUCUUCAUCUUUUUCUGGCUUUUUGGUGUCUUACUGCGUGACCAGAGGGUUUUUGAUCAGCCUGAGCUCAGCUCAAUAUCGGACUUGGAUUUUGGGAUGGGAGCUGGGAUGCAAUGAGGGACAUUUGUCCCAGAGCUGGACAAAAUGGGGGUUUUGGAAGGUGGGGGAUUCACCCCUUAUUCCUGUAUUUAUUUAGAUCUGGGGAAACUUUGCAAACCUGGCUCUAAAUAAAAUAAUCCCGUGCAGCCGCUCAUGGGACAUUGCAUCCUCGAAUUUUUUUGGAGGUGAAUCACAGCUUCCUAGUGGGUUAUUCCCUAAUUUUCCUCCCAAUAUCCCUUUCUCUUGACGCAUUUUUUUGUGUGGGGAGAACGCAUCCAGCUGCAUGGCCGUGACCAAAUAAGAAUUUGGGGAAGAAAAGAUAUUUGGGACUGGUACCUUCCCCAAACCAGCCUGGGGAUCUCAGUCCCUGCUGUCUAAAUCCUCACUCCCAGAUCUUUCCAUGAUCCCCAUUCCCUGUGGGCACAUCCUGGGGGUCACUGCCCCUUUUCCCAGCUGCACUGGGGCUGGUUGGGAAAGCAGAGCUGGCUCUGGGGUCUGUGUGGGGUUUUUUGGAGCGCUGUCCCAUGGGGUGUCACCCCAGGACACAGCGCAGUGCCCGUGAGGUGACCGCGGUCGUCUCCUGCUCCGGAAUACUUUCCCCACUUCCAUGGCAGAGCGAAAGCAGCAAUUUAGGAUCCCAGAUUUUCCCCUUUACCCUCUCCUUUUAGUUUUAUUUUGGGGUGCAACAACCUUGGAAAGAUCCCAGAUUGUUUUGGCAAUGCAGGUAUUAUCCCUUCCUCUUUAUCCCAAAGGGGUCCCCAAUUCUGUGCGCCAUUGUGAUUUAUUUUUUUAGUUCCCCGCUGAUUUUUUUUUUCCUUGAAAUCCCCUAAUAGCUGGAGCAGGACUCAGGGUGUUGCUGCCACCCAUUAACGUUGGUCCUCCAUGGGAGACCCCAUCCCACGGGUUUUUUUGGGAGAUUUGAGGGUGGAAUUGCACCCUUCUGCCCCAUCACCCUGACUUUCUCCGAGCUCCUGAAGCUCCCAGCUUUCUGGCAUUUGGCUUUGCUGAAUAAAUAAUAAAAACUAAAGUGGUUUAAGCCUAAAUUUGGCUGGUUUAUGACUCGUCUCCUUUUUGGGGCUGAGCCUCCCCUGCACCCCGGGCUCUUGGGGGCGUCUGGGUGGUCCCUGCUUGGUUCUGCGGGUUUUUUUUUGGGAUGGCUGCAAUAUUUGCGGGAUCGUGUGUGUGCAUUCCAAGCGUGUUGGCACAUGUUUUGGGAUGGGGACGUGGCGGGACAGGGUCAUGUGUCACCCGUGUGCCGCAGGACUGCGGGCAUCCGCAGGUGCCACCGUGUCUGCUGCAGGAGGACGUGUGGCGUUCCGGGAUCACUCUGACCUGGUUUCAAAGCUUUUCCCGCAUUUUUCCUGAUUCCUGAGUGGGACUGGAGCCUCCUUCUCCAUCUUCCUGCUGCUUUUUGGGGUCUGCACGGGGUUGCAGCAGGACUUC